RNAcentral lists this ribosomal RNA (799 nucleotides) under uncultured Ralstonia sp. Its description in RNAcentral is "bacterial SSU rRNA". It matches the Rfam family "Bacterial small subunit ribosomal RNA", at positions 8 to 796 of the family's 1533-position model. Lineage: Bacteria; Pseudomonadati; Pseudomonadota; Betaproteobacteria; Burkholderiales; Burkholderiaceae. The record is from RNAcentral.
AGAGUUUGAUCAUGGCUCAGAUUGAACGCUGGCGGCAUGCCUUACACAUGCAAGUCGAACGGCAGCAUGAUCUAGCUUGCUAGAUUGAUGGCGAGUGGCGAACGGGUGAGUAAUACAUCGGAACGUGCCCUGUAGUGGGGGAUAACUAGUCGAAAGAUUAGCUAAUACCGCAUACGACCUGAGGGUGAAAGUGGGGGACCGCAAGGCCUCAUGCUAUAGGAGCGGCCGAUGUCUGAUUAGCUAGUUGGUGAGGUAAAGGCUCACCAAGGCGACGAUCAGUAGCCGGUCUGAGAGGACGAUCAGCCACACUGGGACUGAGACACGGCCCAGACUCCUACGGGAGGCAGCAGUGGGGAAUUUUGGACAAUGGGGGCAACCCUGAUCCAGCAAUGCCGCGUGUGUGAAGAAGGCCUUCGGGUUGUAAAGCACUUUUGUCCGGAAAGAAAUCGCACUUACUGAUAUUAGGUGUGGAUGACGGUACCGGAAGAAUAAGGACCGGCUAACUACGUGCCAGCAGCCGCGGUAAUACGUAGGGUCCAAGCGUUAAUCGGAAUUACUGGGCGUAAAGCGUGCGCAGGCGGUUGUGCAAGACCGAUGUGAAAUCCCCGGGCUUAACCUGGGAAUUGCAUUGGUGACUGCACGGCUAGAGUGUGUCAGAGGGGGGUAGAAUUCCACGUGUAGCAGUGAAAUGCGUAGAGAUGUGGAGGAAUACCGAUGGCGAAGGCAGCCCCCUGGGAUAACGCUGACGCUCAUGCACGAAAGCGUGGGGAGCAAACAGGAUUAGAUACCCCCGUAGUCC